RNAcentral lists this ribosomal RNA (765 nucleotides) under Triticum aestivum (bread wheat). RNAcentral's name for it is "partial small subunit ribosomal RNA". The record is from RNAcentral. Lineage: Eukaryota; Viridiplantae; Streptophyta; Magnoliopsida; Poales; Poaceae.
AUGUCGCCCCACCUCGGCAGCCGGCGCAGCUCCACGCGAGGCCACCAACACACACCCGUCCGCCGGCAAGGAAAACCCCACGGUCCGCUGCCGACCACCAAGAAAGCUCACCGGGGAGCCCAUCCGCGCUGCCCGCCGCCGCCCAACCACCGGAGCACCUGGAGCCGGCGAGCCUGCCCACCGACCUGCCGCUGCUGCGACGCUGCAGCCCGUGCCGCCCUCAGCCCGCGUCGCCCGGCCCCAGAUCCAGCCGCGCCGUCGCCGAUCUCGGAGAGCCGAGCACGCACCAACACCUGGCCGCCCGCCGAGGGGGAGCAGAGGCACCGUAGCUCCGCCUCUGCCCGCUGCACCGCCGUGUCGCCCGGCACAGCUCCACGCUCCGACCCGAGGCGCCGGCCCGCGCCAGCACCGCCCGAGCAGGAGGACGACGAGGCCCCGCCGCCGCCGGCGACGGCUAGGCUUUGCCCAGCCGCGCCCACGGGCGGCGGCGAGGGAGGGGGAGGGGAGAGGGGGCAGAGACCGGCGGGAUUUAGGGUUGCCCCCCGGUCGCCUCGCGGGAGCGACGCGAGGGGAGGAGGACUCCUUCGGGGGUUGGGUUUCGGGACCUCGUCCUCUGCUGCUAUAUAUAGGCGCAUCGCCCGUUCUCCUCUUGUGCGGCACACAAGAUCGAUAAUGUUGGCAGGAGCAUGGCGCCACCAUGGAUGCGGAAUGGGAGGCAAACCAACAAGGGCAGGCUGCUUGCUCCUUGGAAUGGGAGGAAUCUGA